UCGAGAAUUUUUCACAAUGGGCGAAAGCCUGAUGGAGCGACGCCGCGUGGGGGAUGAAUGGAUUCGGCCCGUAAACCCCUGUCAUUCGCGAGCAAACGUUAUUAUUUAAAAGAUGAUAGCCUGAUAGUAGCGAAAGAGGAAGGGACGGCUAACUCUGUGCCAGCAGCCGCGGUAAUACAGAGGUCCCAGGCGUUGUUCGGAUUUACUGGGCGUAAAGGGUGCGUAGGUGGUGGGGUAAGUCAGAUGUGAAAUCUCCGAGCUCAACUCUGAAAGUGCAUUAGAAUCUACACUGAGCGAGGGUUGGAGGCGGGAGUGGAAUACUUGGUGUAGCAGUGAAAUGCGUAGAUAUCAAGUGGAACACGAGUGGCGAAGGCGAGUCCCUGGACAACUCCUGACACUGAGGCACGAAAGCUAGGGGAGCAAACAG
RNAcentral lists this ribosomal RNA (427 nucleotides) under uncultured bacterium. RNAcentral's name for it is "bacterial SSU rRNA". It matches the Rfam family "Bacterial small subunit ribosomal RNA", at positions 355 to 775 of the family's 1533-position model. The record is from RNAcentral.